Molecule: ribosomal RNA, 880 nt
Filed under: Gyrabascus oppositus
Lineage: Eukaryota; Metazoa; Platyhelminthes; Trematoda; Plagiorchiida; Lecithodendriidae
Description: partial large subunit ribosomal RNA
Rfam family: Eukaryotic large subunit ribosomal RNA
Source: RNAcentral
UAACGCGAGUGAACAGGGAUUAGCCAGCACCGAAGCCUGUGGCCAUUUGGUCACUAGGCAAUGUGGUGUUCAGGUUGUUCCGCAAAGACACUGCUCCACCCUAAGUCCAUCAAUGAGUACGGUAGUACGGACAUGGCCCGCAGAGGGUGAAAGGCCCGUGGGGGUGGAGAUCAUGUAGGCCAGUGUCUUUCUGGAUAGACCUUGGAGUCGGGUUGUUUGUGAAUGCAGCCCAAAGUGGGUGGUAAACUCCAUCCAAGGCUAAAUACAAGCACGAGUCCGAUAGCGAACAAGUACCGUGAGGGAAAGUUGAAAAGUACUUUGAAGAGAGAGUAAACAGUGCGUGAAACCGAUCAGAGGUAAACGGGUGGAGUUGAACUGCAAGCUCUGGGAAUUCAACUGGUGAGUGUGGUUUGAGCUUGGUUAAAUUGGUUGGGCCCUGGAGUCUGCGUAGCAGCAGGCCUUUGCCUUUCGGGGUGAAGGUGCGCGAUGCACUUAUCAAGUGUUGUGCGCUUCGGGUGUUCUUCGGGCCGGCUCGCCAGUGCACUUUCUCAGAGUAGUCAUCACGACCGGCACUGCUGUCUGGCUGGUGUGGUUAAACCGUUCUCGCAUUGUCCUUGUGGCUCUGCUUGAUCGGGAUGGCAGGUAGCUCGUUGACUUGCUUGUGGCUUGCUACAGGCGCUGGGUCUUUGAGUGUAAUCAGCUGACCACAUUGGUUCUGUGCAGUGUGUCGGAGACGGCGGCUUUUGUGUGUGCGUGCGUGCCUGUCCGGCCAACGCGUUCGGGUUUGGUUGUCAUGUUGCCUGUUCACUCAGGCCUGAUGAUGGCUCGGAUUCGCUUGGUUGGCGGUUGCGUGCGUGGCACAGUUCAUGGGCCAAUAGUC